AUUUCUUAUUGAUCAAUUUCAUUUCAGUUCAGCGUAGGAAGUUGGAAGAGCAAGAUUUUAAUAUGGUCAAGGCUUAUCUUCUGCAGAAACUUGACCGUGUUUAGAUUCAAGAAAGUGUGUUCCUUCAUAACAUCUAUCUAUGGUAGUAAUAUCAGUCAGUGAAGUAAUUAGAACUUGACUUGGUUACUUACUACUUGAGCCCCAGCCACUAACAAAAGAGAGUUGCAGGACGACAUAUAGUCCAGAGAUCCGAAUAGUUUGUCCUAUCUGUUGGUUUUGAAGUUUCUAGUUCCUUUCUUCGUGCUGUGUUACAAUAUUUGUGUUGUAUUGUUUUGCAUGUCAUGGUCUGAUCCGGCGGUCCAAAUAGCGAUAGGCUGGAUUAGUUAGUUCUCCAGUGACCAGUGAGUAGUGCAACAUAUGCAUUGGAAAUUCUGUUUUAGUGCUUUCGUGUUUCCAUGAUGAGAAUUCUUCUUUGAUAUCAGCAAUAUCUCCAUAACUCUGUUCGUGUUCCCGUUGGCCGCUGAGAUUGUAGACUAGUAUGUAUCCAUGGUACUUGAGUUCAUGGCUACAUGCACUUGUCUUUCAUGAUAUAGCUUCAAUAUGGUCCCUCGGGGACCAUAUUAACUUUAACUACGGAAAGUCUCUUACUAUAAUGUUGGGAAAAUGAACUUUGUUUGUCAUGCAUGUGACACCAAUAUACUUCUGGUCUGAGUAUCGGAUUCUUCUAAAGACAAUCUUGUUCUCGUACUACUGCUGGAAUGAUUAAAAUAUGUGGUCUUAAAAUUAAAUUUUCAUCUUCGUCCUACAUAAUUAUGUAUUGUUUUCAUAGGAUAUCCUGAUCAGGGCAGAUCCUCAUUGAUGCUUCACAUUGAAGCAGCCAUUGUUGAGAGCAACUCAUACAUGGAGCUCUCAGUACUAUGAAUUUUCUAAGUACAGAAACUUGUGAUAUAAUGUUUACUAGGACAGAAAAAUUCUAGCCCAAUGUGGUGUGUUAAACAUGACUAGAUAUGAAUGCGAUAAACCUACUUUCCACCUUUGGUGGUUGCGAUAAUGUGUCACCUUUGCCAUGUAGCUUGGUUUGGGGUAAGCAAUUUGAAUUAGCCGACUUCCCUUCGACAAACAAUGCACUGCGGAAGUAGUAGUAACUAGACCAUCUUUAAAAGAGAUAUUUGUUGAUGCAUACAGCAUGGUAUAUAUGAAGCUUUUUUGUAUAUUCCGUGCAUUUUAAUGUGUUCAUCUCUUUGAUUGCAUCGAGUUUCUCUCUCCGCAACUUGUGUGAUGGCAUACAAGGAAUACUAUUCUUGUUCAGGUGCUAGGCUGGGCCAUUUUGACUGGUAGCCUUCAUAUUUCGUUGAUGCUUUUGCUAUUUUCAAGUUGUACAAGUUGGCGCUGCAGCUGCUAGUGUGGGAUGAGAUCAAGGUCGUUAGCGACAUCUACUUCCUUGAGUAUGUACUUGGGCGAGAAAUAGAAUACCUAUGGAAUCAAAUUAGGAGAUACCCAGUACCUGGUUGGCAGAUGGUAGAUAUGGUGCUUCGAAAGUACUUGAAUGUUACUAACUCAUUGUCAAAUUUCUACUUGAAUGAUUUGGUACUAGUGUUGGGGAGAAGUGGACCUGGAGACUGAAGGAAGUCUUGCUCAUUGGUUGUGCUUGCAUGCGCCUGGAUGUGGGAGCAACAUAUUAUUUUGCCGGGUGCUGGGACCUGCCUAGGAUCUAGAGGCAGCCUUUCUUAAGAAUCGUAAGAAACCAUAAAUUUAAUAGAAAAUACAUAUUUUUAAAAAUAUAUGCUACUUCCAAAGUUUUCCUGCAUGACAUCUUGUUGUUCCUUACUGGACGAAGUAGUUGAAAACAAUUCUGCAUCUGUUGUCUUGUAGCUAUGAUAGUAAGAAAUUUGGGUUAGUCUUAAGCUUAUCACCAGUUAAGGUGGCCAAAAUAGUCACAGUACAAAACUCUAUGUUGUUCUUUUCUGUUGUGUUUUUUACUAAGCGAGAGAACUGAAUCUUGUCCUACUAGAGUCCUUCACCUCAAGACCACAGGCAGAGGUGUAGAAAGCUCCGUCUAUACUUAUUUUUAUCUGAAUGCACAUUGCAAUUUGUGUUUCGUAGCUAUAAUAUGGGUGGUACUUGUGCAUGAUUCACGAGGAAUAUUUAAGGGUACUAUCUUUCACUACCUUUUAAAAGGGGCAUUUAGAUUUUCAACUCUUUAGUAUCCAUUACUGUCUAAUGUAUAUAUUGUUAUUAUGCAAGAACACUUGCAGACCGUCAAGAAAUUGUUUGUCCGAAAAAAUUACUUAUUGACAGAAACUAGAGUGUGAUCCCAAAUUCGCAGGUGCAGAAUGGUAGCUGAUUUAGAUGACAAGUCUAGUUGUAAUUCUUUCUGGAGCAGUACUGAAACUGCCCAUGUUGCUGAUGGCUCCAGUAUACCUAUGAACGAGCAGAUAGAGGCAUAUGUAGGCAGCCCCUAGCUUUCCCUAGUCCAACUCUUCAACAUUAUCUUUCGCUAAGUAUUUAUUUAUUUAUGCAUCUCUGUCAGUCAUAACUUUCAUGUUCUGUUUUGACUUUGGGGGCUUGUUAUUUUAAUGGAUGGUAUAAUGUAUAUCCAUACUUUGCAGGAAGCAGGGUAGAAGUGUAGCUGGAGCUAGAUGAAUCCGUUGUGACUUUGUCAUGCGUUAUUGCCGCUGCUAGGUUGGUUGUGGCCUCCCUCGCCUCGCACGAGGUGGUAGGCCAUGGGCGCCCUUGGCCUCAAUUGCGUCCAUGACCUCCAGGGGUCCCGUUGUCGUAGAUGGCGGCAAGUUCACCGUGCCUCAGCCAUGGUCUUGUUCUAUGCUUUGGUGUUUUAGGUGAGCCCCGACAUGGAGCACUUGAAGGAGGUGGUCAGGCAAGUUGGAAAAGAUUCAGGAGCCCAAGAUAGCUGGUCUUGGACAAUAUGCUUGCCGCAUCACAUCCAGGUAAUUGGCGAGCUGAGCCUUCUUUGGCAUGUGGUAGCUGGAUAUGAUGUCGGAGUUGUCAGAUGUCAUGGCACUCGUGAAGGGGAGAAGUGGAGUCGGCUUGUAUGCAGCGACAGUGGAGGACGCAGAGGUGGCCAGGAGGAACCUUGGCUGCGGAAAGUAUAAUGCUUGUUUUAGACCGGAGAAUGGAAAGUGCUUUUGUGAUCUGGGCAGGUUGCCUGUGUUAAGUAGCUAAUAUAUACGUUGGCAUAAUCUAGCUUGGUUAGUGCUUGGGUCAGUUUUUUUCCGUGGCUGCUAGCAAGUCUGGCCGUAUAAUUGCAAUGUAACUUCCUCAGGUU
Lolium rigidum is the source of this 3283-nucleotide long non-coding RNA. RefSeq lists it as uncharacterized. The record is from RefSeq and is a predicted model, not a curated record. The transcript is spliced from 3 exons. Lineage: Eukaryota; Viridiplantae; Streptophyta; Magnoliopsida; Poales; Poaceae.